UCGCCAGUAGCUCAGUUGGUAGAGCAAUCGGCUGUUAACCGAUCGGUCGCAGGUUCGAGUCCUGCCUGUGGAGCCA
This 76-nucleotide transfer RNA is filed under the name Listeria monocytogenes. RNAcentral's name for it is "tRNA-Asn". It matches the Rfam family "tRNA". Rfam says of the family: Transfer RNA (tRNA) molecules are approximately 80 nucleotides in length. Their secondary structure includes four short double-helical elements and three loops (D, anti-codon, and T loops). The record is from RNAcentral. Lineage: Bacteria; Bacillati; Bacillota; Bacilli; Caryophanales; Listeriaceae.